AGGGAUGCCGUGGUGGGGCUGGACAGGGCCAGAUGCUCUCCCCCUGCUUAACCGAAAGGGCAUCACCGCUUUGCUGGGUGCCCCGUUGCUCAGUCCACAGGGGGACCUUGCCUCUCCAAGCAGACCGGGCUAAUCAUUACUUGACUUUUAUUUGAACAUCUGUGCCCUGCCUUUCUCCACAGGCCCCAAAGUGGCCAACCAAAACUAAAAUCCCAUAGAAAGCAAAAAGGUCAUUUCCCAAAGCGCCAUGAAAUGGGGCACACCCCACAUGCUGUGGGGGCAGAGCAGGCACUGGAAAACUACCACUAGAAGACAAACAACCCUGUUCAAAGCAGCCAUUGAGCAGCAACUGUUACCCAGCAACCAUCAAUGAUAGAACCCUGGCCCUGUUUGAGCAGGAAUAACUGUCCUUCUGGCCUUCCUCUUCCCUGGGGGUUACCAACCUCUCCUCCUGUGCCUUUCAGAGCAACCCAAGAAAAGUGUCAGGAGAUAAGGAUCAGAUGAGGAUCUGGGGCCCAAUUCUCAUUCAGCCUGAAGCUUGCUGGGGGGAAUUGGGGCCAAUCUCUUGCUAUCUACUGGCUUUUGGCCAAAGGGUGGAUAAGACUAUAAUUGCUUGCUAGUGGCAAAUUAGUAUAAAUUUUAUGUCUAUUUUGUUAUGUAAAAAGAGAUAUUUGCAGACUGGAUUGGGCAAGGUUCAGACCUCAAUGUGAGACUAGACUUAAAUUUGCAUUCUGAUUGGGCAAGACCUCCAGGGUUUUUAAAUUCUAUGUUGAUCAAAAUGGGCAAGAUCUCUAGGAUUUUUAAACUGACGGGAGAAGCUAAGAAGAAGGAGAGAAGAGACUCUACAGUGGGAGAACCACUUUGGGAAGAGCAGGAUAAGCCCCUUUAUCAUUUCGGUUUCCCUCUUCUGCUGCACCUUCUUCAGUUCGACAGUAUCGCUUUUUUGGUAAUCCGGCGACCGGAACGAUACACUUUACUUCUGAGGAACAGCAACAACUGGAAACAAGGUCAGCUUCAUGUUGUUGUUGUUGUUGUUGCUAUAGCCCAGUAAGCUUCCAGACCACCUUGGGUUUAUUCUCUCUUUUUGACAGUUAAAGCACCACAUUUUCAUUGAUGCCAGGAGAUGUCGAACAGUAGGGCACACAUCCUGGGGUGCCUCUGUUAUGGCACAAGAGAUAUUCCCAGACUGAUUGGGUAAGGUUCGGACCACAAUGUGUGUCUGGACAUUUAAAUUUGCAUUCUGAUUGGGCAAGACCUCAAGGGUUUUUAAAUUCUGUCUUGAUCGAAUUGGGCAAGAUCUCUAGGAUUUUUAAAUUGUAUAUGGAAUUGGGCAAGAUCAAGGCCUGUGUGGGCCUCGAUUUCUAAAUUGCAUCCCCCAGCUUGACCUUUACAAUUGUAUUCUGAUUGGGCAAGACCUCUAGGGUUUUUAAAUUCUGUAUGGAAUUGGGCAAGAUCAGGGCCUGUGUGGGCCUCGGUUUUUAAAUUGCAUCCCCCAGCUUGACCUUUACAAUUGUAUUCUGAUUGGGCAAGACCUCUAGGGUUUUUAAAUUCUGUAUGGAAUUGGGCAAGAUCAGGGCCUGUGUGGGCCUCGAUUUUUAAAUUGCAUCCCCCAUCUUGACUGAGCACACAAUCUCUAGGUUCCCUUAGAGUGAAUUGGGCAUGAUACCAUUUUUUUAAAAUUCCAUGUUUGGGCAGCUUUAAGCCAGUGGACUGGAGUCCCAUGAGCUUGGAAUCUCCAAUGGCUCAACUGGGCAAGACAAUUGGUGUCUUUAAAUUCUGUCAGGGCCUUGUGGACAUAUUUUUCAGCCAAGGGUGUAGUGUUAAAUUUGGAUCAACUGACCACCCACUUUUAUUCAUGCUCAUGAUAAAGUCUGAAUCAAAUGGAUCACGUUGCGUGUUUUAUAUGUGCUGUGUCCCAAGUCUUGAGUGACCCAUGAAGAGAUGAGUUCUUCUUUAGUGCGCUCAUGGCCAUCUCAGAUCCUUAUUCCUUACUCAAGGAAAGCAUUGAUUUUGAAUGCUGGGCUCAAGCUUUUGAUGCUUUUCUGUCUAUUGAUAAAAUGGAAGGAAUCAUUUCACAUGCCAAUGUUUAAAUUGGUUGUGUCAUGCAAGGGUUUUGAGAACUGUCUGGACUAAAGAAAUAGUUUGAUUGCCUUGUCAGCAAGAGAGGUGCCUGCAGCCUAGGCGGCAACCAUGCUAUCUUGCACAGACACAAAAAGCCUUUUGGAAGGUUGUGUCUUUGUUGAAGAUGAUGUUUAGCAUUUUAGCAUUCAAGACUCUUCAGACACGGAUUGCGAGAACGCCUGGCGUGAGAAAUUGACACCCGAGUGAAUGGAGGCGAAUGCACCUGCUUAAGUUGAGGAAGUAAGAUCACCAAAGGCGGCAGGAGUCCAGUGGUGAGGAUGGGGUGAGUAACUGGGCCUGACUGGUUGGAUGAUGCCCCAUCUGUACUGGGCCUUUUCCAAACCAGAUGCUUAUUUUUUCCCCCUUUAAGUUCGGCACUGACAUUUUUAUUGAGUUAGUGAAGGGGUGUUGCGACAGCUACCUGGGGAACUCUGGAAAUGGGCCCAUAAUUAUGUAAGGAUAACCAGAAACUGUAUAUUUAUUAAAAUUGACUUGGACCUUUCUUUUUAAAAAUAUAUAUAUUUUAAAGUAACCUGGAAAUUGUACUGUCAGAGUGAAUGCAGAAGAAAAGUGACGUAACAUCAGAGAAUCGCUUUGGAAGUGAUGUGAAACUGUGGUAAUCUUCUGCCUUCUUUUUCAAAUGGUAAGUGAAAUAAAGGCAAAAAGUAAGAAAUAUCUUACAUAAAAAUGCAUGGGUGAGCAGGCAUUUGGGCAAAUGGAACCAUCCCCCCACCAGCCCCCCAGCCCCAAUCAGUGACAAAAUGUGGAGCCCCACCACCACAUGGAGCUCUAAAAUGGGUCGGGAAAUCCCGGAUGGUGUUCGGGAACUCUGACCCAAUGUAGGCUUCCCAACAUCGGGAUUGGCUGAUCCCCGACAUCCUCCAACAUGGCCCAUCUCAGGCCAUGACCAACACAACUGAUGCAGACUUGAACAGCUGUAUAUUAAGCACCUUCUCUCUUUCUGUUCCGAUUCUGUCCCCAAACUGAGCUGAACAGACCCAAGCCCAGAGAUGGAAGGGGAGCUGAAAAGGCUGGAGAACAGCAGAGACGCUCUCAAGGCUGGCUUCUAUGAAUCCUUCGGUGGACUGCAUCCUCCUCAUGACUCUGAUGACAGUAGCAAUGGACCGAGAGAGAACCUACAUUACGUGUUCAGGACUACAGAAAUCACCCUCCCCUUGGCCUCGUGCAAAGGGGAGGGAGUUUGUCCCAGCCCCGCCCUGCACGAGGCCCAAGAAGCGGGCCGAUUGGCCCUUUGUGUUAGGGGGUGGGGUUUCGGCCGGGAUGAUCCCCGCCCUGUUCUCCUCAGUUUGGGCCAGGCAUUCCCCUCCCUCCCUCCCUGGUACAGAUCGGGUCUAGCGACUGGUUGCCCAACGGGGCCGAGUAGGAAUUUUUGGCUCCCAACGCAUUGGCCACUGUUGGGGUUUUUUUUGCCUACUCCGUUCUGUGUUCCAGGUGUGUAGUUAGAGUUAGGCCGGUCACAAUGGCAGUAACAGUGCGGGCGGGGUGGUAAUUCGAGGGUUUCCCGAGCCAGGGUGUGUCGCCCAGUAAGGUGCUGGGUAGGACGUCAGAGUUCUAACCUGGUCCUCUUGGCCCGCACUGUUCUCUAAGGGUGAUUAAUCACCUGGUGUUCCAGUCCGCCAUGUCUUUUGUUACAGUUAAUAAAGUUGUGGCCCUUUUACCCAUACUAAGUCUACGUGUCUUCUUGGGCUGGGGGCUGGGGAAAAGGAUUCCACUUUUGUGUGCUGAUCAGGCGCACACUGCCUUGAUUCUUCCACUCAGAACAAAACUCAUUCCGCGCACAGAUGAAAAAGAUCUGAGGGAACAUUCAGAGGCACUCUUACCCCUGGAUUUCUGGGUGAACUCCAAGGCCUCCACACAUCCUGGGGGCCCCAACAUCCUUUUUAGUCUAUCCUGGCCCAUUGUUUUCCAGGCGACCGAGCAUGACUGUUGCCUGCACCGGAGUUGACUUCUGCUUUAAAGACAAUGGGGGGAGUGGGGAAAGAAAUAUGGAUGAUGGAAAUAUGUUACGCUGCGUGUUGAAAUGUUCCUGCUAACGCAUAUUUCCAUAAAUAUAACUGUUUUUUUAUUCAUA
Molecule: long non-coding RNA, 4213 nt
Organism: Hemicordylus capensis (graceful crag lizard)
Lineage: Eukaryota; Metazoa; Chordata; Lepidosauria; Squamata; Cordylidae
Exons: 2
Source: RefSeq, a predicted model, not a curated record